GUGUCAGCCGCCGCGGUAAAACGUAGGAGACAAACGUUAUCCGGAGUUACUGGGCGUAAAGGGCGUGCAGGCGGCUGUUUAAGUUCGGCGUGAAAGGCUUCGGCUCAACCGGGGUAGGUCGUCGGAUACUGGACAGCUUGAGGGUGAUAGAGGCGGGUGGAAUUCCGGGUGUAGUGGUGAAAUGCGUAGAGAUCCGGAGGAACACCAGUGGCGAAGGCGACCCGCUGGAUCACACCUGACGCUGAGACGCGACAGCAUGGGGAGCGAACGGGAUUAGAAACCCUGGUAGUCC
RNAcentral lists this ribosomal RNA (292 nucleotides) under uncultured bacterium. Its description in RNAcentral is "partial 16S ribosomal RNA". It matches the Rfam family "Bacterial small subunit ribosomal RNA", at positions 505 to 796 of the family's 1533-position model. The record is from RNAcentral.